RNAcentral lists this ribosomal RNA (774 nucleotides) under uncultured Neocallimastigales. RNAcentral describes it as "partial large subunit ribosomal RNA". It matches the Rfam family "Eukaryotic large subunit ribosomal RNA", at positions 24 to 629 of the family's 3401-position model. Lineage: Eukaryota; Fungi; Neocallimastigomycota; Neocallimastigomycetes; Neocallimastigales. The record is from RNAcentral.
UAGUCUCGCACAGAUGCAUAUCAAUAAGCGGAGGAAAAGAAACUAACAAGGAUUCCCCUAGUAACGGCGAGUGAAGCGGGAAGAGCUCAGAUUUGAAAUCUUAAAGGGUUUCCCUUUACGAAUUGUAGUUUAAGGAAGUGUUUUCUGUUGAGGUCUUGGUAAAAGUUCUUUGGAAUAGGACAUCAUAGAGGGUGAGAAUCCCGUAUUUGACCUUUACUUUCAACUUUGUGAUACACUUUCAAAGAGUCGGAUUGUUUGGGAAUGCAGUCCAAAAUGGGUGGUAAAUUUCAUCUAAAGCUAAAUAUUGGCGAGAGACCGAUAGCGAACAAGUACCGUGAGGGAAAGAUGAAAAGAACUUUGAAAAGAGAGUUAAACAGUACGUGAAAUUGUCAAAAGGGAAGCGUUUGACACCAGUGUUGUUUUUCUGAAAAUCAAUUAAAGAACUGUUUAUGCUAAGUUGUUUAGACUUUAUCAGCUAUCUGUUUAGUUUUGAGCUUUUCUUUAAUGCACUUUUCAGUUAACAAGUCAACAUCAAUUUCUUUUGCUGUAAAAAAGCUUGAGGAAGGUGGCUUGAGAUUCGUCUUAAGUGUUUAUAGCCUCUUGCCUAUGCAGUCGGAGAGAUUGAGGUCUGCAGCGUAGAUCCUUCGGGGCUAAAUGCAUUUGUGCUAAGUUAUAGCAUUUUCAUAGACAACUUGUUGACUAUGAUUUGUCUUGUAGCUUACUCGCUUAUGUUAUUUUACCUACGCUUAGGAUGUUGACAGCAGUAUAGACUGU